RNAcentral lists this long non-coding RNA (498 nucleotides) under Carica papaya (papaya). Its description in RNAcentral is "long non-coding RNA (CPAP_LNC003915)". The record is from RNAcentral. Lineage: Eukaryota; Viridiplantae; Streptophyta; Magnoliopsida; Brassicales; Caricaceae.
GUCUCCAUACCCCGUUCGAUAUGAGCGCCAAGACAUUAAACCUCAAUACCCCAUCCGGUAUGAGGGUGAAGUCGGCCAUCCCCAUACCCCGUCCGGUAUGAGACAACGUUCACAGUAGGGUUCCCAUUGAACUCGGUCCGUCCACCAUCUCCCAGGAUAUCUAGUGAGACUGUCACCUUAUCUGUUUAUUAGAUCACAUCUCCUUCUUGUUUCUCCUUAAUCUCCGUUACCAAAUUAAACAUAAUCACAUAAACAGUGAACAUGCACCUGGUAAUACAAUCAUAUCUUAAAUCCCAAAAUCACACAGUGAUCAAGUAAGACAGUAGUACAUGCAUUUAAAACUCUAAACCAGAUACCAUCAUGCCUUUACAAAAGGAAUCCACAUAAAUCCACAGCAAUCCAUAAUUAAUUAUGCAUAUUUAUCUAACUUGUACAAAUUUAUUCAAACUUCACAUCUAUGAUAGGAAAUAGGGUGAGGGGUCUUUACCUGAUUCGACG